CUGAGACACAGUUCUGCAAGAACCAGCUUAUCCACGCUCUCCGAUCUCGUGUCUGUUUCUCUUUCUCUCUCCCUCUCUUGCGCUGUCCCUCAUUCAUUCACUCUUCCAUCUUUUUGCCAUUGUGCCAGCUCAAUUUAAAUGUAUCUGCUCUGUAUCUGUUCAAGUGGAGAUAAUCCAUGCAAAUCAGGAGCAGUGGCUUUCCAUGCUUGGUUCACAGAGAGGACUCGGCUUGAGGAGGUCACUCGUUCACAGCCGCUCCUCCCAUUAUAUUUUUCCCCUUAUUGCAGAACUGCUGUAUGUAUACAGUGACUGAAAGGACUCAAUUUACUGCAGCUGCUGCCUGGCUUUACUUACAACUUUUUUUUGUAAAGGAACUUACCUCCAUCUGUCUUUGCAAGGUCUCGGACAACUCACUCUAAGCCACACAACUAGUUCUGAAGAGUAUGGAGCCUACAUAGAGUCAUAAGAGCCCAAUGUUUCCCAAGGACAUUAACUUUGAUUUCUCUGAUGAAGGCUUGUGGCUGCCCCUCAUGCUUUGCAAAAUACUACCAAGUCAGAGCCGAAAAGAAAACCGAAAUGAACCCCAAGAAGGUGAAGCAGAUAGCUACAUAAAUAUGUUCUGGUGUCUUCAGGAAAGAAGGAACUUCAGAUGUGUUCAUGGAACCUCUGUCAAUUAUUUCUGAGGUAUCAUGGAGAAUGGGAAAGAAUCGAGAAAACCGAAGAUGAGUCUAUGCUGAUCUGAUUUUAUUAGAAAGGAAAGAAGGAUUCUGUGAACUGCAAACCAAUGAGUUCGACAUCAGUCUCUAGCAAAAUUUGGACAAAAGUAAAAGUGAGCAUUUUGAGAUGAUGUCAGUGACUAUUACGAACCAGUAUGGGUUUGGGGCACCUGAGUGGCUCAGUUGGUUGGGUGUCUGCCUUUGGCUCAGGUCAUGAUCUCAGAGUCCUGGAAUGGAGCCCCACAUCAGGCUCCCUGCUCAGCGGGCAGCCUGCUUCUCCCUCUCCCUCUGCCUGCUGCUCCCCUUGCUUGUGUUCUCUCUCUCUCUCUCUCUCUCUCUCUCUCUGUCAAAUAAAUAAAUAAAAUCUUAAAAACAAAACAAAACAAUCAGAUGGGUUCACUAAGAACAAAGUAGCUCCAGGUAAAGUAUAUUACUUUUACUCUUAGAAAAAGAAAAAACAGUGUAACUGAAUUUUGGCAAGUCUUUUAAUCAAAAUUCUCAUACGUUCCUAAAAGAUAAGUUAGACUAGUUUAUAGCAUAGUUAGAAAGUUUCCAAAAAUGGCAGAAUUACCUCUUUAAGAGUGAUGAAGAAUGAAUUUUGGAGUCACGGAAACUUGGCAUUUCAAAUUGAAGCCCUGCAAUUUAUCAGCUAUGUCAAUUUGUGCAAGUUGCAUAAACUUCCUGAACCUUAAUCUCCUCAACUGUAAUGAGGGAUUAAAACUAUCUGUCAUAAACAUGUUGUGCUUCUUAUACAAUACUGUGUACAUGAAGUGCUUUUUACCUAUCCUCACAUAAAUGCUCAAAAAAAAUAUAGGUGUCAUAUUUUAUUCUCAUGAGCUAAGGGUGAUUGAGUGUUGUCAAUCUGAA
Long non-coding RNA from Ailuropoda melanoleuca (giant panda), 1583 nucleotides. The record is from Ensembl. Lineage: Eukaryota; Metazoa; Chordata; Mammalia; Carnivora; Ursidae.